Molecule: non-coding RNA, 100 nt
Filed under: Lysinibacillus contaminans
Lineage: Bacteria; Bacillati; Bacillota; Bacilli; Caryophanales; Bacillaceae
Description: TPP sequence
Rfam family: TPP riboswitch aptamer (THI element)
About the family: Vitamin B(1) in its active form thiamin pyrophosphate (TPP) is an essential coenzyme that is synthesised by coupling of pyrimidine and thiazole moieties in bacteria. The previously detected thiamin-regulatory element, thi box was extended, resulting in a new, highly conserved RNA secondary structure, the THI element, which is widely distributed in eubacteria and also occurs in some archaea.
Source: RNAcentral
AAUUAUUUGCAGGGGAACUCAUCUUGAGUUGAGAAGGUUAAAACCUGACCCUUUGAACCUGUUAGUUAACACUAACGUAGGGAGCAAUGUACAAUUGCAC